RNAcentral lists this ribosomal RNA (429 nucleotides) under Chloroflexota bacterium. RNAcentral describes it as "Chloroflexi bacterium partial 16S ribosomal RNA". It matches the Rfam family "Bacterial small subunit ribosomal RNA", at positions 355 to 776 of the family's 1533-position model. The record is from RNAcentral. Lineage: Bacteria; Bacillati; Chloroflexota.
UGGGGAAUAUUGCACAAUGGGCGCAAGCCUGAUGCAGCCAUGCCGCGUGUAUGAAGAAGGCCUUCGGGUUGUACAGUACUUUCAGUCGGGAGGAAGGUGGUAAGGUUAAUAACCUUAUCAAUUGACGUUACCGACAGAAGAAGCACCGGCUAACUCCGUGCCAGCAGCCGCGGUAAUACGGAGGGUGCAAGCGUUAAUCGGAAUUACUGGGCGUAAAGCGCACGCAGGCGGUUGAUUGAGUCAGAUGUGAAAUCCUCGGGCUCAACCUGGGAACUGCAUCUGAUACUGGCAAGCUUGAGUCUCGUAGAGGGGGGUAGAAUUCCAGGUGUAGCGGUGAAAUGCGUAGAGAUCUGGAGGAAUACCGGUGGCGAAGGCGGCCCCCUGAACGAAGACUGACGCUCAGGUGCGAAAGCGUGGGGAGCAAACAGG